AAAGCAAACCGGCUUGUCGCUGUCUGUCUUUGACAGAGAGAGGAAAGUCCGGGCAGCAUAGAGCAUCAUGCUUCCUAACAGGAAGGUGUCGCGCCAGGCGCGAUAACAGAAAGUGCCACAGAAAACAAACCGCCACGCUUUGUCGUGGUAAGGGUGAAAAGGUGGGGUAAGAGCCCACCGUACUGACGGUGACGUUAGUAGCAAGGUAAACCUCAUGAGCUGAAAUAUCAUGUAAACCGGGGCUUGAGGCUUGCUCGGCUAACUCGGAGGGUAGAUAGAUUGAUCAUGUGAGUGAUUGCAUGACUAGAUAAAUGACAGGCAACUCCUCCUUCGGGAAGGGUGUACAGAACCCGGCUUAUAGGUUUGCUUUUAUU
RNAcentral lists this RNase P RNA (374 nucleotides) under Crocinitomicaceae bacterium. Its description in RNAcentral is "RNase P RNA component class A". It matches the Rfam family "Bacterial RNase P class A". From Rfam's summary of the family: Ribonuclease P (RNase P) is a ubiquitous endoribonuclease, found in archaea, bacteria and eukarya as well as chloroplasts and mitochondria. The record is from RNAcentral. Lineage: Bacteria; Pseudomonadati; Bacteroidota; Flavobacteriia; Flavobacteriales; Crocinitomicaceae.